Molecule: non-coding RNA, 156 nt
Filed under: Caldifarciminota bacterium
Lineage: Bacteria; Pseudomonadati; Caldifarciminota
Description: 6S RNA
Rfam family: 6S / SsrS RNA
About the family: E. coli 6S RNA was the first non coding RNA to be sequenced, but its function was unknown until recently. It consists of 184 nucleotides that fold into an extended hairpin structure with a large single-stranded internal bulge. The 6S RNA specifically associates with RNA polymerase holoenzyme containing the sigma70 specificity factor.
Source: RNAcentral
UCGUCUCUGCCGUGCUCGUGAUGGGUACUUAGUCUUGAGCCAACACCCAUCUGUAGGGAGCUCAGUUCAGUUAUAAGGAUUUUCUUAUAGCUGACAGGCGCCCACCUUAAACCUGGGUUCAGAGACUUAUGCCCACACGGCACCGGCGGGGGCGUU